This is a non-coding RNA of Clarias gariepinus (North African catfish), 73 nucleotides long. The record is from the annotation of a RefSeq genome assembly. Lineage: Eukaryota; Metazoa; Chordata; Actinopteri; Siluriformes; Clariidae.
GCCUCGUUAGCGCAGUAGGUAGCGCGUCAGUCUCAUAAUCUGAAGGUUGUGAGUUCGACCCUCGCACGGGGCA